This is a long non-coding RNA of Pomacea canaliculata, 472 nucleotides long. RefSeq lists it as uncharacterized. NCBI's taxonomy places the organism in Eukaryota, Metazoa, Mollusca, Gastropoda, Architaenioglossa, Ampullariidae. The transcript has 3 exons. The record is from RefSeq and is a predicted model, not a curated record.
UGUGGAAACCAAUGUCCAGCUUCACAGCCUGUAAAUUGUUGCUGUUCCCAUCCAACUUACCUGUCCAGUCUGGAGUAUUCGGAUGUGACGCAAUAAGCCGGUGCAACUGUUAAGUGACCAAAACGAUACGCAUUGUGCAGUACGUCACUACACACACCUGCCAACACCUCAGUCAUGAUUCCGAGAAGCACAUUCACCUGAGGCAGACGACAAAUUGAGCUGUUUGGAACGAAUCUCACAUGUGCAGAAUCUGUUCAAAAUGAAAUCACGAAUCACCAGCCAGGGGAGAGAAACAGUUGACCCAUGACCCGCUGUCGUCUGCUCACCUGAGAACCUCUCACCUCGCGACAGCAUUCAGAGCAGUUCAUGGAGUCAUGAGGUCCUGGGAAACUCCAUGGCAACGAUCUCUUGGCGACGCACAGUCUCCAACGUCACGACAUGCGCAGACAAGUCAUUUCCGGAUACUGAUAAA